This 629-nucleotide ribosomal RNA is filed under the name Trametes versicolor. RNAcentral's name for it is "eukaryotic LSU rRNA". The stretch from base 215 to 368 matches the Rfam family "5.8S ribosomal RNA". Lineage: Eukaryota; Fungi; Basidiomycota; Agaricomycetes; Polyporales; Polyporaceae. The record is from RNAcentral.
CGGUUAUGAGUAGGCGCGAGGAGACGUUAUCGAGUUUUGAAACGAGUUGUAGCUGGCCUUCCGGGGCAUGUGCACGCUCUGCUCAUCCACUCUACCCCUGUGCACUUACUGUAGGUUGGCGUGGGCUCCUUAACGGGAGCAUUCUGCCGGCCUAUGUAUACUACAAACACUUUAAAGUAUCAGAAUGUAAACGCGUCUAACGCAUCUAUAAUACAACUUUUAGCAACGGAUCUCUUGGCUCUCGCAUCGAUGAAGAACGCAGCGAAAUGCGAUAAGUAAUGUGAAUUGCAGAAUUCAGUGAAUCAUCGAAUCUUUGAACGCACCUUGCGCUCCUUGGUAUUCCGAGGAGCAUGCCUGUUUGAGUGUCAUGGAAUUCUCAACUUAUAAAUCCUUGUGAUCUAUAAGCUUGGACUUGGAGGCUUGCUGGCCCUUGUUGGUCGGCUCCUCUUGAAUGCAUUAGCUUGAUUCCGUACGGAUCGGCUCUCAGUGUGAUAAUUGUCUACGCUGUGACCGUGAAGUGUUUUGGCGAGCUUCUAACCGUCCAUUAGGACAACUUUUUAACAUCUGACCUCAAAUCAGGUAGGACUACCCGCUGAACUUAAGCAUAUCAUAAAGCCGAAAGGAAGAAU